Molecule: transfer RNA, 99 nt
Filed under: Aquamicrobium zhengzhouense
Lineage: Bacteria; Pseudomonadati; Pseudomonadota; Alphaproteobacteria; Hyphomicrobiales; Phyllobacteriaceae
Description: Aquamicrobium sp. cd-1 tRNA-Met
Source: RNAcentral
GCGGGAGAGAACGCGGCACGGCUGAUCGAAACGCUGCGCGAUGACGCGCAUCGCGUGGCUCAUAACCACGAGGUCGCCAGUUCGAGUCUGGCCUCUGCA